This 750-nucleotide ribosomal RNA is filed under the name Latematium latifrons. RNAcentral describes it as "partial large subunit ribosomal RNA". It matches the Rfam family "Eukaryotic large subunit ribosomal RNA", at positions 1273 to 1890 of the family's 3401-position model. The record is from RNAcentral. Lineage: Eukaryota; Metazoa; Arthropoda; Insecta; Hemiptera; Issidae.
AGGGAGUGUGUAACAACUCACCUGCCGAAGCAACCAGCCCUGAAAAUGGAUGGCGCUAUAGCAUCGUGCCUAUACCGGGCCGUCAACGGCAAAGCGGGCCGCUGCCCGGUCGGCCUCGGCCGGCCGGCUCGGCCGUUAAGCCUUGACGAGUAGGAGGCGCGCGGCGGUGUGCGCAGAAGGGUCUGGGCGCGAGCCUGCCUGGAGCCGCCGUCGGUGCAGAUCUUGGUGGUAGUAGCAAAUACUCUAGCGAGGGCCUGGAGGACUGAAGUGGAGAAGGGUUUCUUGUGAACAGCCGUUGCACAAGAGUCAGUCGACCCUAAGCCCUAGGAGAAAUCCGAUGUCGAUGGGCAGCGAUCGUUCUAGGCCCAGGUCUCUCUCGCGAGAGACACGGCGGCCGUGCCGACUGCUCCCGUCGGGCGAAAGGGAAUCCGGUUCCUAUUCCGGAACCCGGCAGCGGAACCGCCUACUUCGCGGGCACUCGCCUGCGAGCGCUCGUCGGGGUAACCCAAAAUGACCCGGAGACGCCGGCGGGAGGUCCGGAAAGAGUUGUCUUUUCUUUAUAAGCGUUCGAGUUCCCUGGAAUCCUAUUGCAGGGAGAUAGGGUUUGGAACGCGAAGAGCACCGCAGUUGCAGCGGUGUCCGGGCCGUCCCCCCGGACCAUGAAAAUCCGGGUGAGGGCUACGUGGUAAUUUCGCGCCGGCUCGUACCCAUAUCCGCAGCAGGUCUCCAAGGUGAAGAGCCUCUAGUCGA